RNAcentral lists this ribosomal RNA (289 nucleotides) under uncultured Candidatus Midichloria sp. RNAcentral describes it as "partial 16S ribosomal RNA". It matches the Rfam family "Bacterial small subunit ribosomal RNA", at positions 31 to 331 of the family's 1533-position model. The record is from RNAcentral. Lineage: Bacteria; Pseudomonadati; Pseudomonadota; Alphaproteobacteria; Rickettsiales; Candidatus Midichloriaceae.
GAACGCUGGCGGCGUGCUUAACACAUGCAAGUCGAACGGGCAAGAGCUGUAGCAAUACAGAAUUCUGCUAGUGGCAGACGGGUGAGUAAUACAUGGGAAUCUACCUUGCAGUGCGAAAUAACAGUUGGAAGCAAUUGCUAAUGUCGCAUAUAGCCGAGAGGUGAAAGAUUUAUCGCUGCAAGACGAGCCCAUGCAGGAUUAGCUAGUUGGUGGGGUAAUGGCUCACCAAGGCGACGAUCUUUAGUUGGUCUGAGAGGACGACCAGCCACACUGGGACUGAGACACGGCC